GGUGGCUGCAGUCUGUUAAAUUGAAGCGACGUUUUAGACGUCUCUGGACUGGAAAUAAGGCCUUUCGGGAUGUCUGAUGAUAUAUUCUCUUUAUUCCCUUUCUGUAAGGGCUUCGAAUCCAUUGUCCUGUGGUCAUGCGAAAACCCUGUAAUUAGUAUUAAAAUGUAAUUAUGUUUCCGGAAAUCUUGUUAACAAUUGACACUAACAUUGUCCAGGAGGCUGAUGCUUUAUAAAACCUCUGAUCAUUCUUCAACCGCCGAGAGUAUGAUAUCAAGACCGCAGGCCUGUUUCCGAUAAUUGUAGAAAUCAUUUCCUUCCGUCUCCCUCCACAAAACCUUCUUUACGAGAAGAUAUGCAGGUAUGUUUGUUUCUUGGAUUCACCACACAAACAGAAAAGGAAGAUGAUGAGGAAACAUAAAGAAAGUAUAGUUUGAUCAGUUACAAAAUAUAGUUGGGUGUCCUGGAUAGUAUAAAUGAUUUGUGGAAACAUGGGGAAGCCUUACAUACCACCAGAUUUAAAUACUUAAAUGUGUGAAAUUGAAAUAAUUGCCCCCACAUGAUAGUGAAAUAAUGUCAUUGCGUGAAUAUAUUCAAAUAAAGAAAAGGUAUAAAGAGUCUGGAUAAGAUAAUAUACAAGCUGUCAAUGGCUAGCAAUUUCCAUAACAAAAGAGGCUAGACCUUGUCUCAUUCCUUGCUGAGGUAGUCUUGACUUGUGAGAGACAAAAUAAUGAUGGGUCGUUGGAGAGAAAAACAGGCAGUGGAGGACAUUGUUUUUGCCAGUGAAACUAGUUGCGGCCUUAAACUAUUGUCGUGGCUGUACAUACAGCCUUAAACUAUUCCUCAUUUAUUGCUGUGUCGCUCUCUACAUGCUUUUGCGAGGUAGUCUGUAAUGUUUUUUUUCUCAAUGACAAAAUAAUUUGAUCGACGAAGAUUCUUUUUUUCCAAAGACUGUCUGUGAGGAAGCUACCUGAGAAAUAAUGUACUCCCUCCAUCCCCGUGGUUGUUAUAUUUACUGUUUGCACGCAUUUUGAGGCUCUUAUAAAAUAUAGUAUCAUAAUUUUUUUUCAAAAUUUUCAUUUUUUUAAUAAAAGUUUAAACAUCAAACUUUUAUCCAGUGAAAAAAAAUUUUAAAAAUAUAUUAUGAAACUAUAUUUUAAAUGAGUGUGGAAAAAUGUGCCAAAAAGUAACGUAAAGAAAUGAGGGGGAUAGAGAGAGUAUAAGAUAAAUAUAAAAAGAUAAAUCAUCUAAACAACUUCUUGCAUUUUGCGUUUAGAAGAUAAUUUCAAAUUCAGGAAGAACAUGAACGUGAAACUGUAAGGAAAGUUGAAAACUAAAAGAACGUCAAAUUGUAAUAAAAGAAUCGGAACGAUAAAUACCCAAAUCCCACCACUAUACCCAUAUUUCUUUCUCUUUUCCAUAUUUCAUACUACUUUAUACACUUUUGUUACGGGGUGUAUUCGAUUGGGAUUUUAAUGGAUUGUUUUUAGUCUAUGGAUUUUAAUGGAUUGUGUGUGAUUUUGAUUUUGUGCGGAUUCUUGAUAAAAUGUCGCAGAGUUUAUAGGAUUUAAGCACAGUGCUUCAAAAUCCCAUUGAUUUUUGUGGGAUUUCAAAAAACUUAAAAUACACUAGAGAAUGCCACAAAAUCCAUCAUUUUAUGAAAUGCAAAAAAAUCCAUCAGCAUUUGAAUACCAUCAGAUUUUAAUGGAUUUUAAAUAAUCCCAAUUGAAUACCAUCGGAUUUUAAAGCAUAAUUUAAAAUCUCAAUUGAAUACCACCGGAUUUUGUAGCAUAAUUUAAAAUCCCAAUUGUAUACCUCAAGAUUUUAAUGGAUUUCAAACAAUCCCAAUCGAAUACCCUCGGAUUUCAUGAAUGCAAAAAAAUGCUUUAAAAUCCUAAUCCAAUACACCCUUCUUAGUCUCCGUACCCAUUUCAUGUGUAUAUUACUCAAAGGGACGGAGGGAGUAUGUUUUAUUGGGGUUUGAUUUAUCUAAUUAUUAAUUAUUUUUUUGUUAUGAUCAAUUAACUGAAUAAUGGUUUUGUGAUCAUAUCUGAUCUGUGUAUUUUUAAUUAUUGAUUAUUCGAGUGACCCUUGGUUCUAAGUUUAUCAUUUGUUUAUUCAUAUUGUGCCAUGGCUUCUUAUUGUCUCGCCAUCAAAUGUUUGAUCAGUCCUAUUCAUUGUUAUACUGUGUUAUUUCUCCGAAAGGAUUUUUGAUGAUUUGAUCAAGUGUUGUACGCCUGUUAUGAUUUGGGGGUUUCAUUAUGAUGCUCUGGAAUGUGGGUUCGUAAAUUUAAUGUUUUGAUUCAUAAAAUGUGUAAAGAAGGUAAAUCGAAAGAAGCCCAACUGGUCUUGAAAAUUGUGGCAAUGCUUGCAACUGUAACUCUGUUCUUUAGUUAUUUGUUUGUUUAAUCCUUGAGUUUUGGUGUUUUUGGCGAUUUUUCAUGUUACAAAUGUAACGCUUCGUUGUUCGCUUCGCAUACGAUGAGGCAACUUGGUUGUUCGCUUCGCAUACGAUGAGGCAACUUGGCCGAUGACAUAGCGGUGGUGGCCGAAGGUGGCGGCAACGGCAGUUCCGGGAUAAGUAUGGGAUUCGGUUUCAGAAAGGAAGGCGUUUAUUGUAUCCUAAUUGUGGACGUUUAUUGUGCCUCUUAAUUGAGGGCAUAAAUUGUGCGUCAUAAUUGAGGCGUAAAUUGUGCCUCUUAAUUGAGGGUGUAAAUUGUGCCUGAUUUGAGGGCCUUAAUUGUGUCUUAAUUAAGGACGUUAAUAUUUUAUUAAUUGUGCCUUAAUUAAGAGUUUGAUUGUCUCAAUUAUGAGUUAUCAUGAUUGUGGGAAUAUUUUUGAUAUAAUCUGUUAUAUACAUCGACUUAUAUUUUUAAUUAUUGUUUCCCAUGUUUUAUUUUCAGGAUUUCUGGAAGAAGACCGGUUUUUCUUUUCGGACAUUAAAGUUUUAUUGUCUAAAUUUCCCCGGUCAUCUUGCAUGUCCGACG
RNAcentral lists this long non-coding RNA (2984 nucleotides) under Daucus carota (carrot). Its description in RNAcentral is "long non-coding RNA (DCAR_LNC004992)". Lineage: Eukaryota; Viridiplantae; Streptophyta; Magnoliopsida; Apiales; Apiaceae. The record is from RNAcentral.